CGUGCUCCGUGGGUGCGGCGGCGGCCGUAUAUAAUCAUUUCUGUGCUACGACUGUCUCAAUCGGGCCCGCAAGAGCA
RNAcentral lists this small nucleolar RNA (77 nucleotides) under Trypanosoma cruzi. RNAcentral describes it as "H/ACA snoRNA, TC6C1H2". Lineage: Eukaryota; Euglenozoa; Kinetoplastea; Trypanosomatida; Trypanosomatidae. The record is from RNAcentral.